GUGUGCACGUAGCAAAAGAGAUCAAAGAUAACAAAGCCAAAAAAUCUAAAGUAGACUUCAAGCAUGAAAGAGAAAAACGUUCUCUUUCUAAUCUAGAAUGAAGAAUGGACUUGAGUAGCCGGAGCAUGGGGUCAUUGGAAGAAUGAAAUAAGAAAGAUCACAGAGCUCCUGGAAGAGGUCUAAUUUAUGGACUGACUGAGAGAACUCUGAAAACCGGGCAGCCGACCGCCAGCUGUGGCUCCAUGGAUUCAAGUGUUAAGGUGUUUGAAUGCUGCCAUGUAUGUGACACAGAAGAAGCAUCAAGUGAGUCUUCAAGGAUAUGUUGGGCCUCGUGCUUUCUAGCGAUUGGAAUACUGCUCUGUACUUGAUCCGGGCACCACAGAAUUUGAUGAACAAUAAUAUACUAAUUUGGGGACUUUCUUCUCAGUCAAACCAUGGAUGGCCUUGGAUUUUAUUCCAAGCAUUUUUUCUGUAUCUUAUUCUAGGAAGUUUUAGAUUAGCUAAAAAUAUGUGUAAACAACUUUGAAGAUUUUGUUUUCUGUAAUUAGUGUAAUUUUUUGCACUCUCUGUUCCCCUCCUUGAAGAUAAAAAGUUUGUUGAGAUCUGUGAGUUGUUAGGAGAUAAUUGUGCCUUUAACUUUUUUUUGUAUCAUUUUAAAGAGAAGUUUCAAACCAAAAAAUGAACUAUAAUAACAACGUUAAGUAGAAGAUUUCUUGCAAGUUGAUUUAGUGA
Long non-coding RNA from Lemur catta (Ring-tailed lemur), 732 nucleotides. RefSeq lists it as uncharacterized. The record is from RefSeq and is a predicted model, not a curated record. NCBI's taxonomy places the organism in Eukaryota, Metazoa, Chordata, Mammalia, Primates, Lemuridae. The transcript has 4 exons.